Molecule: long non-coding RNA, 770 nt
Filed under: Homo sapiens (human)
Lineage: Eukaryota; Metazoa; Chordata; Mammalia; Primates; Hominidae
Description: HSALNT0046611
Source: RNAcentral
GAAAUUUGAUCCAGAAUCCUAGAGAUUUACCCUUAAGCAAACAUCAAAGAUGUUUUAUAAAUAUAUAUUUUGUGAAAUUAUUUAUUUAAAACUCUGAAGAAACUAAACUUUGCAUACAAUAAAAUUGGUUCAAUGAAUCCUAGUACUUCUGAUACUUUUAACCUUUAAAUGUUAAUGACGUUAACAAAAUUAUUUAGCAAAAAUAUCAGUUAACAAAGCAGCCAACAUUGUUUGCUUUCAAAUUUAUGUGUGUAAAUGCUACUUACUUUUUUUUUUUUUUUUUUGAGACAGAGUCUUGCUCUGUUGCCCAGGCUGGAAUGCAAUGACAUGAUCAUGGCUUACUGCAGCUUCACCCUACUGGACUCAAUCUUUCCACCUUGGCCUCCGGAGUAGUUGAGACUACAGAGUCUGAGAGAAGACUAGUCAUAUUGAAGCAAGAAGUUUUUUGAAAAGAAUAUGUGCAAUGUCCUUGACUAGAUCAUGUAAGAACAUUGUAUUGCAAUGUGGUUGGGACUGAUACUGAUUGAAAUGUAUAGUGACAAGGAAGUGACACAAUCCAACUUGUGUUUUAGGAAACUUAAUCUGCUUAUGGUAUGCUGAAUUAAAGUGGGGCAUCUUUUUCUUUAAAAAAAAUAAGAAGUUGUGUCAGUUUAUAUCCUCUGAGGAGUAGAUGCCAAGACUAAAUAUGUAAGAUAUUUAUUGGAGAAAUGGUUGUGAAACAUAAAAAAGAUGAUAAGCAUAGGCAAGAAGACCUCCAUAUCAUGGUGAAG